This is a non-coding RNA of Jatropha curcas, 580 nucleotides long. The record is from RefSeq and is a predicted model, not a curated record. NCBI's taxonomy places the organism in Eukaryota, Viridiplantae, Streptophyta, Magnoliopsida, Malpighiales, Euphorbiaceae.
GUCAUUUUCACCAAGUUCUUAAAGCAAUUAUAUCAUUAGAAGAAGAACUUUUGGUGCAACCCGAUGGUUCUACAAUUCCCUCAAAAAGUUUGCAUAGUGGAGGAAGAUUAUAGCCAUACUUUCAGAUGGACACAAAAGUGCAAGAUAAAAUUGAAAAUACUUCAAUUGGAAAAACUGAAAAGUAUUUCAAGCGGCCACGAGAGAUGGACCAACUUCUUCUUGAUCUUUUGGAAAAGGAAAAAACUAAGGGCAAUAAGGAGGAGAUAAAAUUUAACAAGAAUGCUUGGAAUACGGUUAUUAUUUCUCUUAAUAUUGAAUUUCAAAAGAUAGAAAAGACAAUUGAUAAGGCAAAAACAGUUAAUAGAUUAAAAACUAUUCAAAAACUAAUGUAUUUAGCUAUUGAGCUUUUUGGAUAAGAAGAGUGGGUUUGGAUGGAAUGAUAUUACAAAGAAGAUUGAAGCUACUCCAAGUGUUUGGAACAGUGUGAAGAGAAGAUUGUCCAAGUGUUUGGGACAGAGUGAAGAUUGAAGAUUGUGCUAAUGUUAUUGCUAUAUCUAAAAUAAAAGUUGUCAUUUCUCUU